Zea mays is the source of this 1642-nucleotide RNA transcript. It is a transcript of the gene named putative rnase H family protein, with no coding region annotated. The record is from RefSeq and is marked validated. The transcript has 10 exons. Lineage: Eukaryota; Viridiplantae; Streptophyta; Magnoliopsida; Poales; Poaceae.
AGUCUGCCCGGUCCAUUCUAUCUUCGUCGAUAUCGCCGUCUGCCCGUCUCUACUGGGAAGGGAAGGGAGCACCUGCCUGCUCCUGCGCGGCGGCGGUUGGUAAGCCCCACCUCCGGUCCCAGCCUGGCCAGACUUCUGCCCUUCUCCUCCGCCUCUCUAAUGGUGAUUCGCAGUUACUCUUCUUUCCACUGUGGGUUGCUGAUUUCCAGAGCGGCGUGGAGGAGGCACUACCCGUUCUUCUGGGCUGUCAGGCCUUCCGUACCGCCGCCGCCGUCGCCACUCCCACUCCCACAGCCGCGCACGCGCUUCUCCUCCUCCUCCUCACUGCGCUCCACCAAGAGAUCCGCCGCAAAGACGUCAAUGGACUCGUCUUCAGUCGGUGAACCCUUCUACGUCGUCCGCAAGGGGGACGUCAUCGGCAUCUACAAAACCCUCAGCGAAUGCCAAGCUCAAGUCAGCAAUUCGGUUCGCGACCCUUCUGUCACCGUCUUCAAAGGCUACUCGCUGCGUAAAGACACCGAGGAAUACCUCGCCGCGCGCGGGUUAAGGAACGCUCUCUACGCCAUUGAUGCAACAGAUGCACGAGAUGAAUUGUUCGACGAUCUAGUUCCCUGCCCUUUCCAGCAACCUGAUGGAGCUGCAUCGUCUACUCUGAAAAGAUCACAGGAGAUUGAAAUCGGACCAUCAAAGAAGCAUCCCAAAGUUGAUGAGCAGGUACCAUUACCUGAUAGUCAUCUCUCUUGUAUUCUUGAAUUUGAUGGUGCCUCUAAAGGAAAUCCAGGGAAAGCCGGUGCUGGAGCAAUAAUAAGGCAGGUAGAUGGUUCCGUGGUAUGUAGCCAACUGAUUGCUCAACUACGUGAGGGUCUGGGCAUUGCAACCAACAAUGCUGCUGAAUAUCGUGCAUUGAUCCUAGGGCUAACAUAUGCAGCCAAGAAAGGGUUCAAGUAUAUUCGUGCUCAAGGCGACUCUAAGCUUGUUUGUAACCAGGUAUAAUACCUCGAAUGUGAUUUGGCCAUACAAUUUUCUUCAUUCUUGUAUCACGGAAGGUUGUUGCUUCAUUCAACAUGCCAAAGUCCAAGAUAUCUGGCGUGUUAAGAAUGAUAAUAUGGCUAGCUUCUGCAAGAAAGUGAAGGAGCUAAAGGGAACAUUUCAUUUAUUUCAAAUCAGACAUGUUUUGAGGGAAUAUAAUUCGGCUGCUGAUGCUCAAGCUAACUUUGCAGUAGAACUUCCUGUUGGUGAAGUUCAAGAGCAGUCGAACUUCCCAUGCUAGCAGUUGUGUUGUGGUCAAGUGUGGUUUGUGCAUCGCUAAGGUUCUGGGACUGAAGCUAUGUCACAUUUGUUCAGUUCUCAUUGACACAAAAGGAAGAGACGAAACAACAGUUGUAUUGGAAGUGGUAGUGGGUCUGAUAUAUCUGCGGAGUAUUGAACAGACAGAUGCAAUAUUGAGUAGAUUCUUAGGAAAUUUAAUCGUCUCAAACUUCUAGAUAGUGCGAGUUGAUUUGUCCAGGACCAGUGUUUGCUGAUAUACGAUGUUUGUAUUCAGAACAGUAUUAGUACCGGAAACUUUAAUUGCUCCUUUCUCUAUGUUGGUUACUUGGUUAAGGUUGAGUGUUGCUUUUAAUAAAUUGGUCAAAAUUUUAUU